CAUCAAGCUUCGGAUGUCCAUGGAAGCAUCUUCUCUACAUCAAUCCAGUGAAGAUGUAAAUUCUUCUUCCCUGUAAUUCUAUUUCUGUCGUAUUUCUCCUUUCAGCCUCUCCCUGGGUAGACAAGAGUCAAUCCCAAAACAAGAUUGAUCUGUAUGAUGUCCGGAGAAGACCAUGGUACAUCCAAGGAGCCGCCUCUCCAAAAGAUAUGCUGAUUCUCGUUGAUGCGAGCGGGAGCGUCAGUGGGUUGACCCUGAAGUUGAUCCGAACGUCCGUCAUUGAAAUGUUGGAAACCUUGUCGGAUGAUGACUUUGUGAAUGUGGUCUCUGUAAGUACCCCUCUCUUUCCAGAUGUUGAAGCA
This is a non-coding RNA of Pantherophis guttatus, 359 nucleotides long. The record is from RefSeq and is a predicted model, not a curated record. NCBI's taxonomy places the organism in Eukaryota, Metazoa, Chordata, Lepidosauria, Squamata, Colubridae.